AUGCAAGCUCGACGUGCCCCAAAGUUUGUUGGCAAAUCAGAUAAAAACAAACUUUUCUGCAACCAUUGUAAAAGGACUGGACACAUAAAGGAUGCAUGCUUUGAGCUGCAUGGCUUUCCAACUUGGUGGGAAAAAGGAAAGUCUCGGCCAGGGGGAGUUCAUGGAGCAAACAAAAAACAAGCUAACCUCACUACAUCCAAGGGGGAGCUACCAGUGGUCGAUGUGCGAGCUCUUGAGGAUUUUACUUCCAAGCUUAGACUCUUAGAAGGCUCGUCUACUUCCCAGGAUUCCUCUAAAGCUGAAUCUAGUUUCUAUAUCAAUUCACACCAAGGAGCUAGCGACAGGGGGACUGUUGGGGACUGGCACCGUGCAUGA
Molecule: ribosomal RNA, 375 nt
Filed under: Triticum aestivum (bread wheat)
Lineage: Eukaryota; Viridiplantae; Streptophyta; Magnoliopsida; Poales; Poaceae
Description: partial small subunit ribosomal RNA
Source: RNAcentral